This 253-nucleotide ribosomal RNA is filed under the name uncultured bacterium. RNAcentral's name for it is "partial 16S ribosomal RNA". It matches the Rfam family "Bacterial small subunit ribosomal RNA", at positions 524 to 776 of the family's 1533-position model. The record is from RNAcentral.
UACGUAGGGACCAAGCGUUGUCCGGAAUUAUUGGGCGUAAAGAGCUCGUAGGCGGCUGUCCACGUCGGGUGUGAAAGCUCAGGGCUCAACCCUGAGAUGCCAUUCGAUACGGGACGGCUAGAGGUAGGUAGGGGAAAGUGGAAUUCCUGGUGUAGCGGUGAAAUGCGUAGAUAUCUGGAGGAAUACCGGUGGCGAAGGCGGCAUCCUGGACCGGCAUUGACGCUGAGGAGCGAAAGCCAGGGGAGCAAACGGG